AGAACUUUGCAAGAGAUUCACACAUGUAGAAAGCAUAAUAAUUAAGUUUAAUAAAAGUAAGACAAGUUAUCAGGUCAUCAGCAAGCUUAAAUUAGAGAGCAACUGAAUGAAUGUGGGUCUAGAAUAUAGUCAGUUAACCUCCACAAUUAAAAGAGCCUGUAUUUAAAUCAAUUUAAGUCCAUAUUAUAGAGAGCAAUUAGUCAAGACAUAUACAACAUCGUGUAGGUAAAAUAAAGUGGUAACUUUCAUCAUUUUUCCAUAGGUAAAGGCAAUAUAAAAUAUCGAGAUGAGCACAUGGUCAUGUCUAUUUAUUGAAAAUAAAAACAAAUCUAGGUUGUCCUCCUAGUAGCCAUGUUAUUAUCACACAAAGGUUGUACUAAGUUGAAGGUUGAAGGCUUAUAUAUACAGACAUUUAGAAAGAGAUGGAAAAGAGAAUGUGCAAGAAAAUUUACCGUCCUGUUGAUACUUGUGAUGAAGCGUAGCGAAGCCUCCCCCAUGCUUAAGUGUUGUGCUUAGCAUGAAAGAAGAACAAUGAGCAUCUUUUGACGGUCGUAAUCCUCUUACUCCACGUGUCAUUUUCAUCUUUAUCCAGCAAGCCCUCCCCCAUGCUUAGCAUCAUGCUAGGCAUGAAAGAAGAAGACAGAGCAUCUUGUGAUCAUUAGCUUGAUGCUAUAUUUUAUAGUCUUUCGUGGUUCCCUUCUAACAUUUUUGUCUGUUAAAUGUUUCAUUUCCAUGUUUCCAUGUGACAAUCCUCUCGAGGGUGUGAUUCCAUCCUAAGCUUCAUAAUUUCUUCGUUUAUACUCAAUGGAAGCAUUGCCCAAGCUUCUCUUCAUUGUUUUCAUCUUCAUCUCCUCUGUUUAGCUAUCAUCAUAUUGCAAUCAUCUUUUCUUCAUAGAUUUUCCCCUACAUAAAGAACAGAACAUAUACCAAAGUAUAGAUCUAUUGAAAUGUGUACAAAAUUACCUUUCCAAUGAUUGGUCGUUCAUUAAAAACAGAGUUCAUAUGAGAGAGUUAUAC
This 1017-nucleotide long non-coding RNA is filed under the name Setaria viridis. RNAcentral's name for it is "long non-coding RNA (SVIR_LNC010443)". Lineage: Eukaryota; Viridiplantae; Streptophyta; Magnoliopsida; Poales; Poaceae. The record is from RNAcentral.